This 845-nucleotide ribosomal RNA is filed under the name uncultured bacterium. Its description in RNAcentral is "bacterial SSU rRNA". It matches the Rfam family "Bacterial small subunit ribosomal RNA", at positions 23 to 898 of the family's 1533-position model. The record is from RNAcentral.
CUCAGAAUCAACGCUGGCGGCGUGCCUAACACAUGCAAGUCGAACGAGAAAGGGUAGCAAUACCUGAGUAAAGUGGCGCACGGGUGAGUAACACGUGACUAACCUACCCUGGAGUGGGGGAUAACUGAGGGAAACCUUAGCUAAUACCGCAUAAUACCUACGGGUCAAAGGAGCAAUUCGCUUUGGGAGGGGGUCGCGGCCGAUUAGUUAGUUGGCGGGGUAAUGGCCCACCAAGACUGUGAUCGGUAUCCGGCCUGAGAGGGCGCACGGACACACUGGAACUGAAACACGGUCCAGACUCCUACGGGAGGCAGCAGUGGGGAAUUUUGCGCAAUGGGGGAAACCCUGACGCAGCAACGCCGCGUGGAGGAUGAAAUCCCUUGGGAUGUAAACUCCUUUCGAUAGGGAAGAUUAUGACGGUACCUAUAGAAGAAGCCCCGGCUAACUUCGUGCCAGCAGCCGCGGUAAUACGAGGGGGGCAAGCGUUGUUCGGAAUUAUUGGGCGUAAAGGGUGCGUAGGCGGUUUGGUAAGUCUUGUGUGAAAUCUCCGGGCUCAACUCGGAGUCUGCACGAGAAACUGCCGGGCUUGAGUGUGGGAGAGGUGAGUGGAAUUCCUGGUGUAGCGGUGAAAUGCGUAGAUAUCAGGAGGAACACCUGUGGCGAAAGCGGCUCACUGGACCACAACUGACGCUGAUGCACGAAAGCUAGGGGAGCAAACAGGAUUAGAUACCCUGGUAGUCCUAGCCCUAAACGAUGAUUGCUUGGUGUGAGCGGGUACCCAAUCCCGCCGUGCCGUAGCUAACGCGUUAAGCAAUCCGCCUGGGGAGUACGGUCGCAAGGCUGAA